This 2824-nucleotide ribosomal RNA is filed under the name Parcubacteria group bacterium GW2011_GWC1_39_12. Its description in RNAcentral is "bacterial LSU rRNA". The stretch from base 1 to 2168 matches the Rfam family "Bacterial large subunit ribosomal RNA", at positions 327 to 2044 of the family's 2925-position model. The record is from RNAcentral.
UGUUAGUUGAAUGUGCUGGAAAGCACGACCCUAGAGGGUAAUGGUCCCGUAAACGAAAAUAUAAUAUCUUCUUUGUUUCUGUUCUUGAGUACCUCGAGACAUGAAUAGCUCGGGGGAAUCUGCCGGUACUAACCGGUAAGGCUAAAUACAUUUUGAGAUCGAUAGUGAACUAGUACCGUGAGGGAAAGGUGAAAAGAAGUCCGAUUAGGACAGUGAAAUAGAUCUGAAACCAUAUGCUUACAAGGAGUCGGAGCGGGGGCAUCACAUUGCAUGUGAUGCUAGUCAAAAGUUUAUAAAGUCAUAAAGUCCAUAAAGUAGAAUUCUGAAUUCACUUUACAAACUUUAUAGACUUUCAACUUUAUGGACUAUGCAUCGUGUUCAGCGCGAUGCCUCCGUCACGGCGUGCCUAUUGAAGAAUGAGCCAACGAGUUCUAGUACGCGGUUUGACUAAGUCCUUCAUCGGAUGGAGUCGUAGGGAAACCGAGUGUGAAUAGCGCGUAUGGAACCCACCUCAAAAAUAAUGACUUGUGCAAACUAAAAAAUUUCUAGGAAAAAAUAAAGGAUGAGGCGCGAGACAUAUCUAGAUAUGUCGAGUGGCGAAACUUUAUUUGUUACAGAAAUUUUGAUGUUUGGAUAGUCAAACAUAUUAUCGUGUUUGAUUGUGGUUAUUUUUGAGGUGGGUUCCAAUCGUGUGCUAGAGACCCGAAGCCAGAGCGAGCUUGCCAUGAGCAGGUUGAAGUUUGUCGAAAGACAGAUGGAGGACCGAACCGGUUGCCCGUGCGAUUGCAUCGGAUGACUUGUGGUAAGAAGUGAAAAGCUAAUCGAGCCUGGUAAUAGCUGGUUCUCUCCGAAAUAGCUUUUGGGCUAGCGUCGCAUGUUCCCUUCCGGGGUAGAGCACUGGAAGGUUUCGACAGGGAGCAAUCUCGCGAAACCUAUCAAACUCCGAAUACGGAAGAUUUAAAGCGCGGCAGUUAGACGGUGGGGGCUAAGCUCCAUACGUCAAAAAGGAAACAGCCUAGAUCUCUAUUUAAGGUCCCUAAAUCUAUGUUAAGUGCACUUGAGGUGGUGAAUUUUCUCUGACACUGAGGAGGUUGGCUUAGAAGCAGCCAUCCUUUAAAGAUAGCGUAACAGCUCACUCAGUAAGAGAAUUCGCGCCGCAAAUAAUCGGGGCUAAACAUAGUACCGAAACUGAGGGUUUCAUAAUUCUUCGGAAUUGUGGAGCGGUAGGAGAGUAUUCGCAUCUGCUGUGAAGGCAAAGGGGUGACCCAUGCUGGAGCGUUGCGAAGUAAGAAUGUUGGCACAAGUAACCACAUUGCGGGUGAGAUCCCCGCACGCCGAAAGACUAAGGUUUCCUGUUCAAUGUCAAUCAGAGCAGGGUUAGUCGGGCCUAAGGCAAUGGAGAGAUCCGCAGCCGAUGGACACAUGGUUAAUAUUCCAUGACUUUUAUGUGAUGCGAUGGAAGGACGGAGUGUAGUAUGUAUUGCUCAUUAUUGGAUUUGAGUAAAUGCUGUGAGGUAGUUGACUAGGUAAAUCCGGUCACUUUCUUAAAUGAUAAUACCAAGUAGUAUUUAAACCUGCGGGUUCGCCCUAGGGAAUUAUACAAAGCACGCUUCCAAGAAAAUUUUCUAAGCAUAAUCACAUGAGAUCCGUACCGUAAACCGACACAGGUAGUCAGGUCGAGUAGACUAAGGCGAACGAGUGAGAGAUCCCCAAGGAACUCGGCAAAAAAGCAGCCGUAACUUCGGAAUAAGGCUCACCGACGCAUCACAUGGAAUGUGAUGUCGUCAAGUUCAAAGUUCAAAGUUCAAAGUUGAAAGUGGGCUCAAAUGCAUUUGCAUUUCGAAUUUACUUUAUGACUUUAUAACUUUCUACUUUUGACUUGGCGUCAUCGUGCUUCGCGCGAUGCGCCGGUUGCAACAAAAGUUUCUCUGGCAACUGUUUAUCAAAAACACAGCUCCCUGCGAACUCGCAAGAGGAUGUAUAGGGGGUGACACCUGACCAAUGCCAGAAGGUCAAAUAUGGUAGUUGAGAGUCGCAAGAUUUUAGAUUGACCGUAUAAGCCCUGGUGAAUGUCGGCCGUAACUAUAACGGUCCUAAGGUUCUGAUUCUUCGUGAGAGGGGUCAGAAGGACUGGGACUGUUUAGCUACUGCUUACACAUGUAAAAAUGUAAAAGCAUUUUGAUAAACAAAAUAAAAAAUAAUCAUCACAAUCAUUCAAAGCUGCCUCGCCCUGUGGUAACACAGGGCAGGUCCAAAAAUAUCGACUAUAUGCUGGAAGAUCUGUGCAUAAAAUGCUGUAGAAUCGAGUACUACUUAAUGAUAUACUUAUGACAAGUGCUAUUUAACACUUGUCUAAUAAUAUCAUGAGUAAAAAAGUAUCUCGUGCAGAAGAUCAGCAGGAAAGACUAAUAACAACAGGAUGGAUAGUUGGUUUUGUAGACGGUGAAGGGUGCUUCUCUAUUAAUUUUGUUAGACAAUCUGAUAAAAAGGAGAAAAAUCGGAUUCGCAAAGGAUACAAAACCGGGUAUCAGAUAUUCUAUGAGUUUGCUAUUACACAGGGCGAAAGUAGUUUGGGAAGUUUAGAAAAAAUUAAAGAUUUUUUCGGUGUGGGAAAAAUUUAUCUUAAUAAAAGAUAUGAUAACCACAAAGAACAUCUUCUCAGAUAUACUGUUCGCAAACUAGAUGAUCUGGUAAAUAUAAUAGUUCCUUUUUUCAAAAAAAAUGAACUAAGAACUUCAAAAAAGAAAAAUUUUGAAAUAUUUACUAAAUGUCUCGGUGAGAUAAGUAAAGGUAAACAUCUAACCAUAAAUGGGGCCGUGAAAAU